CACGAUGAAGCUCGCGGCUGUGGGUGUGGUAUCCUGGGUAUACAGGAUCUGACAUCCGCCGAUAGGUUAUUUGCUGAAGACGUGAUACAACAGUGGGGGGAUUGCUAAAGCCGCUGGCGCUUCAGGGAUAAACAUCACAGACAGCACCGGAAAGUGGGUGGUGACACGUGAGCGCCGCGGCUACUAGGAUAGUGGACACAGCGCGCCUGGCUACUGCACUAGUAGAAUGCCGCGGGUGCUGACACGUCAGCGCCGCGGCUACUAGGAUAGUGGACACAGCGCGCCUGGCUACUGCACUAGUAGAAUGCCGCGGGUGCUGACACGUCAGCCCCGCGUCUACUAGGAUAGUG
RNAcentral lists this long non-coding RNA (350 nucleotides) under Volvox carteri. Its description in RNAcentral is "long non-coding RNA (VCAR_LNC003657)". Lineage: Eukaryota; Viridiplantae; Chlorophyta; Chlorophyceae; Chlamydomonadales; Volvocaceae. The record is from RNAcentral.